Sander lucioperca (pikeperch) is the source of this 356-nucleotide long non-coding RNA. RefSeq lists it as uncharacterized. The transcript has 2 exons. The record is from RefSeq and is a predicted model, not a curated record. Lineage: Eukaryota; Metazoa; Chordata; Actinopteri; Perciformes; Percidae.
CAACGAAUUACACCAAACUCUCAAGUUUGUGUUGGCAGACCACCAGCCUGGGAAAGGAUAAUCAUUAGAUCAAGGAAGAGAAUCCAUGGUAAAAUACAAAAAUACGUCUCCCACGCAGUGGAUCAUCUCUGUGAAUUUAAUAUGUUGAUGUUCCGGUCUGAGGCCAUUUGUGAAGAAAGAAUAAUUGGUGGAUGUAACGAACCACUUGGAAACACCAAGCUUGCUUUCUUGUCCAAAGACGUGACUAAGAAGGUUUUGUCUCCUGAACAAUCAAGAAAGGCGAUUAUGCAGUUGUGGUGCAUUCCUUGAGAAAGUUUGUCGUGGUUUCACCAGAUUCACCACAGCAAACAUCAAAU